This is a long non-coding RNA of Gallus gallus (chicken), 2967 nucleotides long. Lineage: Eukaryota; Metazoa; Chordata; Aves; Galliformes; Phasianidae. The record is from Ensembl.
UUUUUUCUUUUUUGGGAAGGGAUUUUACCAGAAGAGGGUGGCUGCCCCUCUGAGUUACUGGCUUCAGUUAUUUAUUUGUAAAUGCAGUUCUUUUAUUUCUAAGGCUUCCUUUGCAAAACUCUGCAACUAAGUUGAAAAAUUAAGUUAUGUGCUUCUAGAGGAGAGAACAGAAGGUUUAGGAAGGAACUGCUAUUUCAAGCAGAAACCUACUACCUAUGUUAUCUUAGAUGUUCAGCAUCCUCAGACUAGAAUAUAGUCAAGAAACAUACUCUUUGCCAAGCUUUAGCUAAAUAGCUGUCCUUUCUGCCAUUGAAGGCUGCUUCUAUAACCCUAGGUGCAGAUAUCAUGUUUUAUAAUUGGGUCAAAUGUUAUCUGUCUUUCUUAGUGACUUGUAGGAAGAGCAUUGGAGAAUUGUGUUCUUGUUGUUUCGUAAUCACUUUGUAAAGAGCAACCACCUUGAAUGUGGCCUCCUCAGCCCCUGGACUUCUUGGAGGGGGAUUAAUUGACUCACAUGCAUGAGAUUAUCUAUGUAAAUAGUAGAACUGGGGAGAAAAUCAUGGAGGUGUCUGGUCUAACUGCACAUUGAAGGCACAUUUAGUGCAGGCCCUGAAAUUGCUUAUUAUAUCUGAGCCAUUUGAACGAAUCAUAGAAUCAUAGAAUUGCUCAGAUUGGAAAAGACCUUAAAGAUUAUUGAGUCCAACCACAACCUAACCAUACUACCCUAACAAACAACCCUCUGCUAAAUCAAUGAAUGCAUUUCAGUUAUAGUCUUGCUUUGUAUCUGCUUUUAUAUCAUACAUCUUUAUAACUCACAAGUAUGUCCCUAUAACAAGCCUAUAAUAUUUGAAUUUAUAACCGUAUAGCCCUAUAAAAUUUGCCUUUCUAAGAGAUGGAAGAUAGUAACUAAUCACUAACAGGCGAAACACCAUGAUCCCACCCACCCUCUGACUACAAUGCUUCCUAGAUGCAAUAGGUGAAGAAAUUAUUUCCUUUAGGCUGUAAUUCAAAAAGAGGAAGUACCAAAGCACGUCUAAGAUCAGUGCAUUUUUUUUUCUUCUUUUCAAAUCUUCCUUUGUAUAUAAUUUUUUAAUCUGAAAGUUGUCGAUUCCUACACCAGGGACAACGGAAAUGUAAAGAAGAGAUAAGAAAUCAAGCAAAAAUGUUAUCUUCUUCUAUUGGUAUGGCCAGUAAAGUAAUUAACAAGUAAUUAACGAGCUAUUAGCAGUCAGUUGAAGCUGACUUGUAGUGACCACGGCCAUCAGAAGCUAAGGUAGGGAAGGCAGAAAAAAGAGAAACUGGAGGUUUGCAGUCAUUGAUAGAAAAUAAAUUGGUUGGUUCUACCCCUUUACAAUAAAUUGUCAAGUAAGCGUAUUUCAUGCUCCCCAGCUAGCAGUGCUGACUGCAGGAAAACAAUGAUUUAGGGACUUCCCAUUUUCCCUCACCAAAAUCUUAAUCUUCAGAAUAACAUAUUUUCUGCAAAAGCCAUGAGAGAGGAACUGAGAAAACAGCUAGUUGGACACCCAGGCUGUUGGAAACUACCUGCAUGAAAAUCUGCAUACAUCCACACUUCCUCACUUUUUAUUCAGCGUGUGAAAAAAGGCUGGAAGCAUAGCAUGGUCUUUUCAUUGGUCUCCCAGCACAAUAGGAUAAGGGAAGCUGCAUCAUCUGAAUGCUGAAACUAUUGAUUAGAUCUCGCUUUAUGAACACUCGCUUGAAAGAGUCAAGUUUUAGGAUGUAACUUUAACUAUAAUCAAUCUAAUAACAUUUAUUAUUGCUGUUAAAGAAAAAUACAGCUCUUUUGAGAGUUCUAAUGGAGUUUAGGUCCUGAGCUAGGACCACGCUAAAAUGUCAAAGUGGCAUUUGCCAUGAUGCUUUACACCCGGAAGGCAAGGAAAUGACCACUGUGAACAUAAAAUUAGUGAGAAAGGAUGCAUUUAAUGGUAUCAGAAAACAGUGACAGAGCAAGUACAGAAGCAAUACAAUCCUGUACAAGCUUCCCAUAGAAGUGCAGGAGUUGAGUGGUUUUGAAAAGAUUAAUGGUGAGGGUACUGACUUACUGUGACAGCUGUCAGUGUGGGGUGGAUACCUGCCACACAAAACAAAACAGAAAUUAGCAUUUCCUUUAGAACUGCUGAACUAGCCACAGGUUCAGAGAAACGAGAAAGGGGAAAACUAUGUGAGCAUAUUAAAAAUCCCAGAGUAGUUAUUUGGACUUUGGCGUGCCUGCCUAUCACUGAAAGGGACCUGAAACUGAAGAAAGCUCUUAGUUAUGGCACACUAUGUUUUAGUAUGUUCAGAUUGUUUGAUAAUUAUUUUUUCACCUUGGGGUUCAUACUAAUUUUGUUUGAUUUACUACUCUUUCUACCAAUCCUGCUAGACAGGAAAAAAAAAACAAAAACAAACACAAACACAAAACUUAAUCCAGUACAAAUUCAGUCCUUUUCUCUGUGCACUCAGGUAUAUAACAGUUACCUACAGAGAUAACAGUGAGAUAUGGACUAUCUGAGCUCAGCAUACGCUUAGGGGGGAGAUAAUCUGUUCUUAUCAGUAAUUCAUAAGAGAUGAAAGAUGACUUGGAAAAAUGGGGAUUUUUUCUGCCCUUCAAAUUCAAACUUUUUUUUUCUUUUUUCUUUUUUUUUUUUUUUUACUUUUUCUUUUACUAUGAAAAGAAGAUAUGGAGAAAGACAAUAAAAAUGCAAACUGGUAAGUAAUUCAAAAUGCGAACAUUUUCAUUCUAAGAAAUAAAAUGUAUGGAGUUUUAAUACCAAAAGAGAAAACUGUAGUAAUACAAUCUGAUCCCUCCUAUCACUCUUUCCUGUAACAAUUUCUAUCGAGACUGAAGCAAGUACAUACUUCUAGAAGUAACCUUUAUUUGAACAUUUCUACUUUACAGGGAAUCCACUCCAAUAAAAGGAAAAUUUGUGUCAAUAAUCAAUCAUUCUCACAGUUAAAAUCAGUAUGUUAUCA